Long non-coding RNA from Anas platyrhynchos (mallard), 425 nucleotides. RefSeq lists it as uncharacterized. Lineage: Eukaryota; Metazoa; Chordata; Aves; Anseriformes; Anatidae. The record is from RefSeq and is a predicted model, not a curated record.
CUUUCAGCAGCUACCAUCCAUCCUCGGAGGGAUGCUACUGCCCCUGCAGUAUUUCUGACCUCAGCUGUUGGCAGGGCAACACACUGAAUGAUUCAGUAAAGCCAAGUACCUCAGCUAACACAGCGCAAAUCUGCAUGCCUGGUUAUGCCCACGGAUCUUGGAGAGGCCGUAACAUUGAGGGGGAGGAGGAGGUGAGCAGCUUCAACAGCUCCAAUCGGAGCUGCAGCAGAGAAUCAGGGCUGCUUCCUCACCUAAUGGCCUCAGUCCAUUCACCAGACACCUGAGGACUGCAGAGAAGCUCUCUCAACACCAUUUACAAUAUAGAUGGAGAGGAUACAUGUUGUGUGACAGUAAUACGGGACACCAGAGUUUAUUUGUAGUCAGAAGAGACUUAAAGAGGUAUUUGUUUUCCUCAGGAAGAGACG